This 406-nucleotide ribosomal RNA is filed under the name uncultured bacterium. RNAcentral describes it as "partial 16S ribosomal RNA". It matches the Rfam family "Bacterial small subunit ribosomal RNA", at positions 30 to 526 of the family's 1533-position model. The record is from RNAcentral.
AUUGAACGCUGGCGGCAAGCCUAACACAUGCAAGUCGAACGAGCGGCGGACGGGUGAGUAAUGUCUGGGAAACUGCCUGAUGGAGGGGGAUAACUCCUGGAAACGGUAGCUAAUACCGCAUACCAUCGGAUGAGCCCAGAUGGGAUUAGCUAGUAGGUGGGGUAAAGGCUGACCUAGGCGAAGAUCCCUAGCUGGGCUGAGAGGAUGACCAGCCACACUGGAACUGAGACACGGUCCAGAUGCCUACGUGAGGCAGCAGGGGGGAAUAUUGCACAAUGGGCGCAAGCCUGAUGCAGCCAUGCCGAGUGUAUGAAGAAGGCCUUCGGGUUGUAAAGUACUUUCAGUGGGGAGGCGUUACCCACAGAAGAAGCACCGGCUAACUCCGUGCCAGCAGCCGCGGUAAUAC